UGGCGGCGUGCCUAAUACAAUGCAGUCGAGCGCAGGAAACCGUCUGAACCCUUCGGGGGGACGACGGCGGAAUGAGCGGCGGACGGGUGAGUAACACGUAAAGAACCUGCCCAUAGGUCUGGGAUAACCACGAGAAAUCGGGGCUAAUACCGGAUGUGUCAUCGGACCGCAUGGUCCGCUGAUGAAAGGCGCUCCGGCGUCGCCCAUGGAUGGCUUUGCGGUGCAUUAGCUAGUUGGUGGGGUAACGGCCCACCAAGGCGACGAUGCAUAGCCGACCUGAGAGGGUGAUCGGCCACACUGGGACUGAGACACGGCCCAGACUCCUACGGGAGGCAGCAGUAGGGAAUCUUCCACAAUGGACGAAAGUCUGAUGGAGCAACGCCGCGUGAACGAUGAAGGCUUUCGGGUCGUAAAGUUCUGUUGUAAGGGAAGAACAAGUGCCGCAGGCAAUGGCGGCACCUUGACGGUACCUUGCGAGAAAGCCACGGCUAACUAC
Molecule: ribosomal RNA, 496 nt
Filed under: marine sediment bacterium ISA-2675
Lineage: Bacteria
Description: bacterial SSU rRNA
Rfam family: Bacterial small subunit ribosomal RNA
Source: RNAcentral